GCGGCCAUGAUGGAAUUGGCAGACAUGUAGGAUUUAGGUUCCUAUGGGCAACCGUGAGGGUUCGAGUCCCUCUGGCCGCA
This 80-nucleotide transfer RNA is filed under the name Lachnospiraceae bacterium. Its description in RNAcentral is "tRNA-Leu". It matches the Rfam family "tRNA". Rfam says of the family: Transfer RNA (tRNA) molecules are approximately 80 nucleotides in length. Lineage: Bacteria; Bacillati; Bacillota; Clostridia; Lachnospirales; Lachnospiraceae. The record is from RNAcentral.